This is a small nuclear RNA of Rhineura floridana, 161 nucleotides long. RefSeq annotates it as U1 spliceosomal RNA. The transcript has a single exon. The record is from RefSeq and is a predicted model, not a curated record. Lineage: Eukaryota; Metazoa; Chordata; Lepidosauria; Squamata; Rhineuridae.
AUACUUACCUGGCAGGGGAGAUACCAUGAUCAUGAAGGUGGCUUUCCCACAGUGAGGCUCAUCCAUUGCACUCCGGGGGUGCUGACCCCUGCGAUUUCCCCAAAUGUGGAAACUCAACUGCAUAAUUCGUGGUAGUCAUACAUUACUACUAAUGUAAUUAC